UGGAUCCAGACUUUGAUCAUGGCUCAGGAUGUACGCUGGCGGCGUGCCUAACACAUGCAAGUCGAGCGAUCUUCUUCGGAAGAGAGCGGCGGACGGGUGAGUAACGCGUGGGUAACCUGCCCUGUACACACGGAUAACAUACCGAAAGGUAUGCUAAUACGAGAUAAUAUGCUUUUGUCGCAUGGUAGAAGUAUCAAAGCUCCGGCGGUACAGGAUGGACCCGCGUCUGAUUAGCUAGUUGGUAAGGUAACGGCUUACCAAGGCGACGAUCAGUAGCCGACCUGAGAGGGUGAUCGGCCACAUUGGAACUGAGACACGGUCCAAACUCCUACGGGAGGCAGCAGUGGGGAAUAUUGCACAAUGGGCGAAAGCCUGAUGCAGCAACGCCGCGUGAGCGAUGAAGGCCCUCGGGUCGUANAGCUCUGUCCUCAAGGAAGAUAAUGACGGUACUUGAGGAGGGAGCCCCGGCUAACUACGUGCCAGCAGCCGCGGUAAUACGUAGGGGGCUAGCGUUAUCCGGAAUUACU
RNAcentral lists this ribosomal RNA (527 nucleotides) under uncultured organism. Its description in RNAcentral is "bacterial SSU rRNA". It matches the Rfam family "Bacterial small subunit ribosomal RNA", at positions 1 to 555 of the family's 1533-position model. The record is from RNAcentral.